Hipposideros armiger (great roundleaf bat) is the source of this 10469-nucleotide long non-coding RNA. RefSeq lists it as uncharacterized. The transcript has 5 exons. The record is from RefSeq and is a predicted model, not a curated record. NCBI's taxonomy places the organism in Eukaryota, Metazoa, Chordata, Mammalia, Chiroptera, Hipposideridae.
AGAUACAAACAGCGUGGAGGCCCCGUGAGCCAGAGCUGGCUGCCUACCCCCAAAACCACUCCCCAGAGCCCCUCACGGUUCUAGCAGGGCAAACAACACCCACGUGGGAGAGAGACGGCCCCCAGGACAUACUGUGAUGGGCCACGGAGACACAGCAAGCCGGGGAGGACCCAGCCCCAGCUGCUGAGCCCCUGGGAUCCUGUAGGCAAGUGCCUCUGCUGAACUCAUCCAGAGCCAAAAAUGCUAGGGUUCGAAAGGAGUGUUCAAGGUGGCCACACCCCUCCCCCAGGCUGGACCAGAUGGCCGGGGUCUGGAGAGCCUGGCUCCGGCUCAUUCCAGGUGGCAGACUGGUGUGGCUGCCUGUGUGGGAAUAGCCGAAACCCAGAGACAUACGUAAGGUUCUUCUGAGCCAACAAUGGGCCCCGGAGCCCUCAUGCCGCGGCCUCUUCAUUGGAUGCAGGGUCACAAGAUUUGCCCAGAUGUCCAAAGCACAGGAUGUGGCCCCUCCAUCCACUCUAGGAUGCAGCCGUGGAGAAGGGGCGUAGAGAAAGAGCCAAGACCAAGAACCAAUGGGGGAGCCUGGCAUCCUGACUGUGCUGCCGGCCACAGUCAGGAUGGGUCAGGCCAUGCCCGCUCUGAGUUUCAGUUUUUUUGUUUUGGAUAUGGGAGCAGGCUACGCAAGUACCAUUUGAGCAUCAACCAAGUUUCAGGCCCUUUUUGGGGGCAUGCCACUUAUACCUACUUGCUUCUGUCCUCCCAGGGAGGUGCUAUCAGCCCCAUUUUACAGAUGGGACUCAAGGGCUCAGAGAGGGGGUGUGCACAGUCCAAGCUUACACAGUGAGAAAAAGCCAAGACUUGUGGCCAGGAAAGACAUUCUCCUAAACCAUGGUCUUGCCCUUCACACAGUGAGAGAGGUGUGAAGGGCUCAGAGUAUUUGUAAGGCUGCUGGGGUCUGUUAGCAAGAGGGGACUGAGGCAGAACCCUACCAGGGGUUCUACUAAGAACUCAUAAUGGAUGGCUUGAGAGGUUGGCUACACCUCCCCCUAGAUGCCUCCAGGCUGGCCCCCUUGUCUAUAAGGUUCCCAGGUGACAAAAACCCAUCCCUGGUCCCAGAUGGCUCAGCUACUUCUGCAACCAGUGCAAGAGGUGGCCACCCUGCCAUGGAGGAGUCAGGCUGGUGGGGGAACCAGAACCUCGAGCAGAUGGCACCAAGGCAGCCUGAGGGUGUGCCUAAGACAGACUUCAUCCAGCCCAGUGGGUCAGGAAGAGCUUCCCAGAGGCAGGAGUGCUUGAGCCAAAUCUAGAGCCAGCCAGGUGGACAAGGAGAAGAGGCCAUUCCCAGCAGAGUGACUAAUGUCUGAAAAAGUUGACAGACAUCAGGGCACAAAGCAUACUGAUCUGGUGGGUGCAGAAGCCCUGUGCAGCCCAAGGUGCCGCCCUGAGAACUUGGAGUUGGCUCUGUGGACCAAAAGGAGUUGAAGGUCAUCAGCUCUGUGUUUUAGGAACACCCUUCAGAAGCCAGUGAGAGAGUGGCAUGGACUGGGGAAACCAGAUGGCCGGCCACCUCACUAGUCCCAGGUGGGGAUGUGGGAAGGAAAGAUGGAUGGGGCAGAGAGAGGUUGAAGGGCGGCAAGACGGACUCAGAGCUUUGGGGAGAGUGAGUGGAUGUGGAGCGAGAGGAGGACCCAGGCCUCUCCCAAGUCUGGGCUUCAGGCCUGAAUGAAGUGGCUAGGAAGGGAGGGGGCAUUGCUGGGGAAACAAGGACUUCAGUUUGGGACACGACUAGGGUAAGGUGCUCUGGGCCAUCAGGGAGCUGAGGCCAGGAAGUAGCUGGAUAUUUGAGUGUGAAGUUUAGGAGGAAAGACAGACAAGCGACGGAGAAACAGGAGUCUUGUAUCUGAAGCACAGAAGAGGAAGAGCUGGCUCCGGGGUGACAGGGCCGGGGAUGAGGCACCACAUUUGAGGGGAAGAGGGGGCAUCUGCAGAUGAGAAGAAGGAGCAGCCAGGCCGGUAGGAAGAAAACCAGAAGGUUGUUGAGAAAGGCAGGUGGAAGUGUAUCCAGAAGCCAGGUGUGUCAGCAGCGUCCAAAGGUGGCCUCAGGUCAAGGAAAAGAAGGUCAAGAUGAGAUCUAAAAUGCAUCCGCUUGGGUUUAGCAAAAAAGAGGUCACUUGUGACGGUUUAGGAACUGAAUCAGAGGCAUAGGUACGGGACAGGAGAUGGCCUGGGGGACAAGCCCGGGAGAAAUGGAGACCACACAGUAACUUUAGCCAUGAAGGGAGAGGGGAAUAGGGGUUUGAGGGGUUCUUCCGGAUGGAAGGGGUAGGACAACAUUUAUAGGCUGAGAGAAAGGCUCCAGCAAGGUGAGGGGACCCUCUGUGAGGCGGGGUCUCUGGGGAAGGACUCAGAGCCUGGCCUUGGACAGGAGGUGACCCCUCAACUUCAGAUUCAGGAGCACAGAGGGGGAGGAGCCAGACCUACUCACAGGAACAAUGGAGAAGGGUGGGGGGCAUCUCCUGGCACCCCAGAGUGGGGAGGGCAUUGCUUGCUUGAAGCCAACUCGGCAGGCGGUGGAGAAACAACCAGUCCAUCCUGAACCCCAGCCCCCACCUAUCACCAGGUUCCACCCAGCUCUGGGGUCUCCAUGUCCCCCCCACCCACCCUGCUCUGGUCCAACAGGUUCCACAGGUCCAGGCAGGGGCCUGGAGGGACAGGCUGAUGGCAAAACCAUUUCCCCAGGAAUGUAGGUUUCUGGGGGGGGGGCCCACAGACACGCUUGCCCCUGCACGUUGCAGGCCCACACCUCCCAUAAUGCCCCAGGGGACCAGACGCUACAACCAGACAAGGAGGUUCUGGACCAGGAAGAUUCCUGCCAAGGGGUCUUGGCAGAGCAGAGGGGAAGGGGAUAGGGGGGACUCAUGCUGGGAGCCUGGACUGCAGCCGGGUGAGGGCUGAGCCCUAACUCCCAGGUUCCCCUGCUCUCACUCCUCCAUCCCGAGACUGGAGCCACUCCUCACCCAGGGAAAGGGCUCUGUCCACAUCUCAGGCCAAGGGGCUAUUUGGAGGCCACCUUCCAACCCAUCAUCACACAAGCCCAGUGUGGAGGGUCACACCCCUAACCUUACACCUAGACUAAAGGCACUAGCAGAGUCUAGUUUUGGGACUCAAGCCUCCUACUCCAACCCAGGGCUCUGCCCACAAAGCGCUCUGGCCUUCCAGAGGGCAGAGGGGACAAUUCAAGACAAACUUGUCUCUCAGGACCUGGGGCAGGGUAAGUCCUGGCACGCCCCUCGAGGGGGAAGAAGCCAGGUGUGAGUGGUUAGCCACCCUACUCGACCAUGGUUUUCCUUUGGUGGAGGGCAGCCUGCCUCGGCCACAGGGAAGAGAAGCAGGGAGGGACCUCUGUGUGCUGGGCAGAAAUCCCUGGAGAGCCCUGGGGACGGGAACUGGUCCUGUGGAUCUGACUCUAGCACCUCCAAGAUCCCUGUCUGGGCUUUGUUUUAAGAAGGGGAGGCUCCGAUGAGGGAGCCCUGGCCUGGGAAAUGUUAGGGGGAAAGGUAGGGGUAGCUAUAAAUCUGAUUUCAGGGACCCUCUCACUGGGGAUGUUUAUAAAUACUUUUGUGAGGGCAGGAAUAAUGACACUCUCAGUGCUACCUGAUCCCAUACGGGCUCGUGUGUGGACACGGGAGCCCAUGCGUGUGCCCAGCACAGCCCACAUGGCCAGAACCCCCAUCCUAAGCCGGUUAACACAGGGAUGCCCCGCCCUCCUCCUCACUCACACCACAGCUUUAAAGACUCAAUUCAAACUUCUCCCUAAAUCAUUUAACUCCCUUAUCACACAGUGUGUCUGGGAAAGGAAGGCAGAUAAGGCGAGUCUGGUUUCUUUCAUGGCCGGGCCUGACACCACGCUCCUGGCAAUAGUUCCUGAGGGACUCCACUGCCUUGACCAUGGAGACCCAGAGGCUCCAGCUCAGCCGAAGGCAUUUUCAGGGAACAACUGUGACCCAGGCUCCAGGGCCUGGCCUGGCCUCAGGCUGCUGCCAUCUACUGCAGGCCCCCGGCCGGCUCUUUCCGCCCGCCAGACCACAGUUGAGGCUCUGUGGACACUUUUAUGAACAGAUUGGGCUGAUGUCACUGCUGUAACUACCCAGCCCGCUCAGUGCAAGAGGCCCAACUGGUCUGUGCCAAUCCCCCUUGGUUUAGAUACAAGGAAACGGAGGUCCAGCUGGGAAGAGAUGCCCCCAAGGCCUCAAAGCAAAAGUGCCUAAACCAGCUGCUGUCUGCUCCACGGCCUCCUACAGGGAGUCCUCCCUGGUUACUCCCACUGCCCUGCCCUCCUGCCCUCUUCCUCCUCCUGGGGCCUCCCUGGCUACUCUGUUUCCUUACUACCUGGCUCUCCCAUUGGACCUGUCUUAGCCAGAUAUGCAAGGUCCUUAGCAAGGUCAAGAUUUGUGUACUCAGAGUGGAUUACUUGAUCAACCCUUUCUGCAUUGAGUUCAGGGCACAUUUAUAUGCUGAAUAAGACCCCCCCUCGAAUUCCUACAGUCCCCACUUUGAAACAGGAUGCAAAAGUGUCUCCCAAUCUCACUGCUUAUUACAGGGGGGCGGUGUAACACCAGCCUCCACAAUGCCUGACCACAGCCACCCCAGGCUAGCGUGUGCGAUGAGACCCUCACACCCAGACCACUCCCCUCCCCCACAACAUAGACGUGGGGGUUUGAGAGGCCAGGGAAGCAGCAGCCCCGGCCCUCUGCCGUGACCCUGUCCAGUCUUGCCCUGGAGCCCUGACUCCCUGUUCAUGACCAAGCGCCCAAUCACAUGCUGCUGGUCAUAGCACAUAAGCAGGAACAUGUGGAUGGAUGGCUCCACGCAGCCCCCCCUCACUGCCAGAAACCACUGGGCGCCUGUGUCAGCACUCCUGAGAGGUGGGCUACAAGAGAAAUGGGGACCUGUGUGCUUCUAGUCAGGUGGGGGGAAGCUGCCUCAAGCCCAGGAAGCGAGCCUCUGACCCCACUGGAGCCCCUGACCAUCCUGCACCCACAGUCCUCAGCUAUGCCUGCCAUGCCAUCUCACCCGAGGCCCUUCUGAAGUCCACAACCUACUCCCCAACUGUGUCUCCAUGCUCUUCCUCCAGCCACUACAGCAUCCCUGCCGACCUCCAGCCUCUUCUUCCAGGAGGCUCUCCUCUCUCCAUUUCUAAGAGUGGGCUCUCCAGGGCCUUCCAGCUCCCUGGCAGCAACUCUGCCUCUGCCCAGGACGUCUGCCCACCCUCUCCUUCUGCACAAAUGCCCUGAAGACCUCGCCCACGCCAGGGCUUCAACUACCAGCUCUGCUCUGUUGUCUCCCUAAGCUGCGGCCUUAACCACUCUCGGUGCACCAGAUCCGUGACUCCACCUGCUCUGGGACAGCUUCACCCUGGAUGUCCCACAGCCCCUCACACUCAACCCGACCCAAACAAAACCCAGGAUCUCCACCAGAUGUGUGACCCAGUAGUUCCCCAGGCAGGGCUGCGCUCUCUGUCCCCCUGCUCACAUCCAAAGACUAUCUCAUCCUGCUGAUGCCCCCUCUGAGGCCCAGCUCCAAGGCAGCCCAGCCCUCCAGCCACCCACCACUGCCCCAGCUAUGACCAUCCUCUCUCCUUGAGCCAUCACAGUUAAGUUAGCCUGUCUCCAGCCACCCUCCAACUCGCCCCAUCCAUCCUUGAGGGAGCUUGCUAGAUACAAGGAGGACCCUGUCCCUCCCCUGUCCAGCGCCCCUCACCCACCACCCCCAUAGGCAAGAGGACUAGCUCACCUCAGGUGAUCAUGGCCAACUCCCAUGGAAAAAAAUUAGAUGGCUGGAGAGAAUCCUUUCAUAUAUGUACACGUAUGCAUGUACAUGGAUGUAUUUAUACGCAUAUGACUGGGAGUAUUUUUGUUACGACUUGGGCAGCUGCUUCCAUGAGCAGACAAGCAGCAAAUAAACGCAUGUUAAAAUAAAACCUCAGAAACAGCCGAUGACACAGUUUAUUAGGCAUGUGUGAGCCCACAGUGGUGACUUUAUACCAUGGACAUGUAGUGUCCAUGCUCAUAGGGGAGAAUUACAUGCUACUUCACACGGAGCACUGGGUCAGCCGGGGGCUCUGCCACCAGCACAUGUUUAAGUACCUUUCGUGUCCUGGGGCAAAGCCCAGCUCCCAAGCCCAGCAUCCAAGGGGCCUUCACAACUUGCCCCUCCACUCUCAUACCCACCCAGCUCCCCUAUGGCCAGGGAGUCCUUUUACUCUUUCUGAGGCUGCAUGCACAGCUCCCCACAGCACCCCUAUCUACAGCAGCAGCAGCAGCAAGCCCUGAACCUUCAACACAAAGUCUUCCUGGGACACCCACUGGGAAGGGCUGAUGGUGUUUGGAGCAGAACAUCUGCUCUGGCUGCCUGCACUAUUGAUACUGCUCCAUCUAGGGCCAUCUCCCACCCAGACUAGGACCUCCAGGGGCAAGGGCUAAUCUGAUCCUCUUCCCCCUGGCUCCCUGAGGUGCACACAGGAGACCCGAGUGCCUGAUGGAUUGAACCAAGGAGGGGCAGCAGGUGCAGACUACUCAGACAAGACCUUGGAAACCCAACCCCAGAGCACAUGCCUGAGCAGGGUGGAAAAUCCCACCUAACGGCCACUGCACACACCAUAAAAACAUUCUAACUAGCCACUCCAAGAGGCCCCGUGCUCAGGGUAGUGACCUGUCCACACGGGCCUCCGCCCCUCCCCCACGCAAUUUGGCUUCUAGCCAGCCACUGAGCCCAGGAAUCUACAGACUGCUCAAGGCUGGUUUCCGUCUCUACCCUCACGAUAUUCCUCCUUUCUAACGCCCACCUCGAAUCAUCACAAGAACGGGAGGAGUGGAAACGGUUAUUCCUUCAGGAUGAUAGGAUGAUGGGCAAAGAUACUGCCUGGCCCACCUGAAGGAGGCCCUGUGGCUGGGAAGGCACAGCCAGAUGACUGCAGGAAUGAGAGAUCUGAAAGGCUUGUUCCUGUCACCUUAGGCUUCCAACGAUGUUUGGAGCCACAGACCUCCUGGGCUGGCCUGCACUGCCCCAAAGGAGCUGGAUCAGUAUAACAGAUGCUGAGUGCUGACCCCCCUUCCCCCUCCACCAUGGGGACAGGAAGGAAUGCUGGGUUACCUAAUCCAAACAGCCUUCCAGCAAUUAUUUCAUGAGAAAGUCAAGUGCCAAAAGGCGUGCAUGUUGCAUGUGUGUGUGCGUGUGUGUGUUCCAAGUAGCUGUCUGGACAGGGUGAGCCAAACCGCUCCCUGCAUUCUUUCUUUGGGUAAAAUCUUUGAUAGAGACCGUGAGAGACACUGCUGCUGCAGCUUCCACCCCAGAUGGCACCUGUAGCCCCCUACAGGUCUGAGCAUGGGAGCCUGGAGUUCAGAAGCCCUGAUCACAGCCAGAAAAGCCCAGUCCCUUCCUUUGCAGGACCCAAGGAAGGACCAUGGGGGAAAGUCUUAGAAGGAACUGGACAGCUUGACCCCUGGUCCUACAGCCAAUGUGCACCUGGGCAUGUGCCUGGACCAGCAGCAUAGGUGGGGGGUGGCAGGGAUUCAGCUUUGCCUCUCACCCAGAGGAAGGAAGGCUGGCCGGGUCUGGGGGUGGGAAUCUUAAUAGUGAGAAAGAAGUGAGAGACUGUAGAGACUGGCUGCCUGGGAUCCAUCCACAUUCUCCUACCUCAUGUAGGUUAUCUGGACUGUUUUGCUCCAUCAUGAGAAUACCUGGGAGGGGCUGCUUGGGGGCAGGACAGGGCAGGACAGGGCUCCAUCUGCAGCUGAAGUAGGGACUCUGUCGAGGGCAGAGAUGGGGUUCUCUGUGGGUCCUAGGAAGGCAGACGGUACAAGAAUCAAACCACCCCCCUGGCUCCUCUCCCUCAGCAGUCAGACCACUGAGUCAGUAGCUGGAGAUGAGCCUAGGAGGUAAGGAGACAUGAACCAGGAGCGUGAGGAAGAGGAGCAGAGGGGCAGAGGGGCAGGCAUGGAAGGCAGGAGGGGGAUAGGAGGUGAUUCUGGAGUGGGGUGGGUUUGAAGACCAGCGCCGCCCAAGAGCUGGCACCAUGGCCAGGUGGAGGGAAGCUGCCUCAGCUCCAGGACCCUCCUCUCGCCCUCCUCCAGUUCAGCUCCUGCCCAGUACCAGGCUGUGAGGGAGGUAAGGGCUGAUGAACCUGGCUGAGCUCCCUCCACAUUCACCAGCUCUGAUGUCAGUGCGCUGGUGAGGCUGACCUCCCACAGAGUCCUGGGGUCUCUGGCGCCUGCCCUCCCAGCCCCCCCUUCACCUGGCUCUGACCCCUCCGCAGCCUGCUGGUCCCUGAUCUGCUCUGGUUCUAAGCUUGAAGCAGGAUGUGGGACAAACCUUCCUGAGCCCCCCUGUCAGUCCCCUCAUGAGAUCAAAUCUUUGCCAGACCAAAACCAGGAAAUCAUGGACCUGAGAUGGGGAAAUGGAGGCCCUGAGAGGGACAGGAACUGGCCCCAGGCUACAUCGCAAGGCAUACAAAGACAGGACUGGAACCCCAGGUCCCAGCCCCAGAUUUGAGACACUCCUUGUGUGCUGGUCCCAGCGCACCUCCUGGGGCAACAGUCAAAUUCAGUGGGCAGCUCCUCACUGCUCCCAGGUUGCUGGGUUCGGGAGCCAAGAAGAGUGCUAAGCCGGGAGGCACGAGUGUGGUGCAGGCUGUGCAGCAGAAGCCCUGGGGGGGAUGCCUGAGGGUGCACUCAAGGUCCUUCCAGCAAAAUGCACAAAACUCACACUUCUGCAAUUUUGCCUACCCUGGCACCACGGCCUGAAGCGUCCCUCGCACUAGCCAUCCCAUCUGUCAAGUUCCUGCUCAUUCUUCAUCUCUUCAGAGCCCAGUGUUAGUGCUGCCUCCUCUGCGAAGCCGUUCCUGAUGAAGCUGUCACCACCCCUCGCCGCCACUCGCGGCCCCACCAUGACCAUUAGAAUACGUAUAUUCCUCCUGCCCUUAUCUUCCUCCUCCAAUGUGGGGCUUGUGCCCUCUUGAGCAGAGAUCUCUGUUUAGGGUGUCUGUGAAGUUUCCCAUCACCCUCAGGCUAAGGGGUCAAGAAGGGGCAGGAGCCUAUCUCACUCAUCCCUCCGCCCCAUCGCCCCGUCCCCAGCUUUAUCAGCCGAUGCUUAUUGAAUGAGUGAAUGAAGGGGGAGAAGUGCUGAACGAAUGAGUGCAUGAACUAGUGAUGGACUAGUGAACAGAGGUGGAGAGAACAAGCCAGGGAAGGAAAGUAGAAAAGACCUCUUCUGUGUCUCCUGAACCCCAGAGUUACUAACUACCUGGUGUCCCAGUGGGCGGGAAGGCAGCGGGGCAGCCCAGGCCAGGGCACGGUGACAUGGCUUGGCCCUGGGAAGCGGCCAGAUCGGUCACUCAUUCUUUCCAGAUCAAAGUUCCCCCAGGGAACAGCCUGGAACCUGAAACUGGUGGGGGAGGUGGGGGUGUUGGGCCAGUUGGCCCCGUUCAGGAGGAGGGCACACAGAGGCAAGGCACCUGUUCCCAGAUCCAGGGACACCAGGCCAGCAGCCCAGGGAUGAGACUGGACACACAUACACACACUUACUCCAGCCUCAGACCCAGCCCUUCCCUCAGAUAAAGGGCCACACAGGUAGGUAGGGAACCCCUGGCUCCAGGCCCUUCUGUUCCAGACUCCCCAAGGACUCCAAGCCCCCCAGGCCCCAGGGGCUCCGCUCCUUCCGCUUCACCCUCCAUGUCAGUUUUGAAUCACUCCCUGCCCCAUCUCUCAGUGGCUUCCAUCUCGGACACCCUCCGGAUCCAUCUUCCUCUGUCUCCCAGUCGUUGCGUCUGUUUUUCCGUCAUUGCACCUUUCUGUCUCAGCUCUCCACAUUUCUCUGCAUUUUUUGAUCCCCUUGAUCCUUGUAUCCCGGUCUCUUUCCAUCUCUCUGUAUCUCCUUAGAUAUGAAGAAUAACGGAGUGGUGAGUCAGCCCUUUCUUCUCAGGAGGAGCUGUCUCACAUGCUUCCCACUCUCCAGCCCCUGUUCCCUACAGUCUACAGUGAAAAGAUGUUUCCCAGUGGUGGAACAGGAGUGGGAGAGAAUGGGAGAGAACAGAACCCAUGGCCCCUGUUGCAGCCAGGCCCCCUUGGUAGCCUCAGGCUGCUAUGUCUGAGCCAGACCUAGGUCAUGUGAGCAGGCAGGGAGGAAGUGGGCAGAGCUGGUCUGGGGCAGGAGGCCCAUGUCAGUGGGCCAGGUCCCUGAGUCUGCCACUCCUGUCCUUCCUUAUUCCACUGCAAGCUAUGGAAAGUCAUGCCACAGCCAGUGUUUGACUUCAUGCCCCCAUCCCCAUGUACAAACUAGCGUGCAAGCGCACACACACACACACACACACACACACACACACACACACAGAGUAUAGGGGCGUGACUAAGAGCACAGGACUCCAAAUCUCAGUCAUGGCUCACCACUCCUUGUACCUCAGUUGUCUUAUCUGUAAA